AUUGAACGCUGGCGGCAGGCCUAACACAUGCAAGUCGAGCGGAGCGGCGGACGGGUGAGCAAUGCCUAGGAAUCUGCCUGGUAGUGGGUGAUAACGUCCGGAAACGGUUUCUUAUACAGCCUACUAUCAGAUGAGCCUAGGUCGGAUUAGCUAGUUGGUGGGGUAAAGGCCUACCAGGGCGACGAUCCGUAACGGUUCGUAGAGGAUGAUCAGUCACACUGUGACUGAGUCACGGUCUAGAAUCUGACGUGAGGAGGCAGUGGGGAAUGUUGGACGAUGGGCGAAAGCCUGAUCCAGCCAUGCCGCGUGUGUGAAGAAGGUCUUCGGAUUGUAAAGCACUUUAAGUUGGGAGGCGUUACCAACAGAAUAAGCGCCGGCUGACUUCGUGCCAGCAGCCGCGGUAAUAC
RNAcentral lists this ribosomal RNA (407 nucleotides) under uncultured bacterium. Its description in RNAcentral is "partial 16S ribosomal RNA". It matches the Rfam family "Bacterial small subunit ribosomal RNA", at positions 30 to 526 of the family's 1533-position model. The record is from RNAcentral.